Molecule: long non-coding RNA, 1440 nt
Organism: Pocillopora damicornis (cauliflower coral)
Lineage: Eukaryota; Metazoa; Cnidaria; Anthozoa; Scleractinia; Pocilloporidae
Source: RefSeq, a predicted model, not a curated record
CAAGAAAAAUUUCUAAGAUACCAUUUAAAGUUUUAGAUGCUCCAGAACUGCAGGUUACCAAACUCUGUGAUCUUGCAUCUGAUGGGGACUCUGUGACAUCUGUGUCUUGGUCAGAAAGGAGUGGUCUGGUUGCUGUUGGGACUCACAAGGGUGACUUGUUCAAAUCUGGGAUGCAGGUGCACAAAAGAGAGUGUCUUAACUAUUGAAGGACAUACUGCUAUAGUUGGUGCCCUGGCAUGGAAUGAUGAAUUGUGCUCUCACCAGGGAGUAGGGACAGGCUGAUUCUACAGCAUGAUGCUAGAACACCCAAUGCUGUGGAGAGAAGAUUGAUUGGACACAGGCAAGAGGAAUCCAAGUCAGAGCUCAAUCACCAGUUUCCAGAAUAAGAUGAUGUUUACCCUAAGAAUUGGAUCUUCAACGUAAUGUACCGGUCAAUGUAAACCCCCGCACCCCCCGGCCGGGACAUAGCGGGGCAUUUGACAAGCGCUCACUUCUAAAGUUGCAAAGGACCCCAAGCCGCCAUCUUACCGGACUAGCAAUUCUUGACCCACUCCACUUCGGUGAAAAAUACCCCGGUCCACUCCCCCGCUGUUCUUGGAUGACGUGCAAAAGAGGUUAAUGUCCCCGAUACCUGCGGCCCUUUCGCUCGGCAAAAUUUUUAAGGACACAGUCACACAGUUAUUCUGUAACUUUUAUUUCAAUUCGAUUGAUAGGUUUAUUGAAUAAAGGUGUUUCUUUGGUCUAAUAACCUGGUUUUUCAGAUGGGUUUAUAUCUAGAGUUGUGAUUUCUUUCAAAAUUGUGGAAAUUUUAUAUAAAAAAAUUGCAAAGGAAUUGAGAUUAAAAGUGUUAAAAGAAAUGGAAAGAAGUCUCAAGAGGUAUAUUUUCCAAGCCACAAUGACGACAGAAAUGAAAUCAAAAUUUAUUGCCUUGUAAGAUUACAUUGAUUGCAAUACAGCUUAAAACUGUGACUCAUGCAUGAGUAAUUUUUUCGAGGACCUUGGGCAAGGUACUUCCUUGAGAUUAUCCAACAUUUCAAUACUGUUUGCAUUUUCACUCCUCUCGAUUAGAUAAAAAUAGAGCUUUACACCUUAGUUUGUGGAAUUCCAGUUACUCAUUGUUUCAGACUUUGAAUUUAUUUGUGGCAAAACUAAAAUUUCAACUCUAGGCAAACUUAUGGCUGUCCAUGUUUACUUUUUACAUGGCAUCAGUUUCUUGUACACAGGAAACUGAUGUCAGAAACUGAAGCAGAAAAAUGAAAUGGACAGAUGUGUUGUUUGUGUCAAAAAAUUGAGAUUAAAAGCAUUAAAAAUUGGAAAGAAGUCUCAAAUGUUAUGCUUUUUCUAAGCUGCAACAAGUGCUUAAUUGCAGCUGGAAUUCUAUGUGGGGUUUCCUUGCCUUCUCUUUUCAUUCGUUUUACAUGUGGAAUUCAUCUCUGAUGU